Non-coding RNA from Phrynosoma platyrhinos (Desert horned lizard), 72 nucleotides. The record is from the annotation of a GenBank genome assembly. NCBI's taxonomy places the organism in Eukaryota, Metazoa, Chordata, Lepidosauria, Squamata, Phrynosomatidae.
ACCAGAGUGGCGUAGGGGCUGGAGCCUCAGCCUAGGACUCUGGGGGCCAGGGUUCAAAUCCCGGCUCAGGCU